This 417-nucleotide ribosomal RNA is filed under the name uncultured bacterium. RNAcentral describes it as "bacterial SSU rRNA". It matches the Rfam family "Bacterial small subunit ribosomal RNA", at positions 362 to 771 of the family's 1533-position model. The record is from RNAcentral.
UCUUCCGCAAUGGGCGAAAGCCUGACGGAGCAACGCCGCGUGAGUGAUGAAGGUCUUAGGAUCGUAAAACUCUGUUGUUAGGGAAGAACAAGUUGAGGAGUAACUGCCUCGACCUUGACAGUAUCUAACCAGAAAGUCACGGCUAACUACGUGCCAGCAGCCGCGGUAAUACGUAGGUGGCAAGCGUUAUCCGGAAUUAUUGGGCGUAAAGCGCGCGUAGGCGGUUUCUUAAGUCUGAUGUGAAAGCCCACGGCUCAACCGUGGAGGGUCAUUGGAAACUGGGGAACUUGAGUGCAGAAGAGGAGAGUGGAAUUCCAUGUGUAGCGGUGAAAUGCGCAGAGAUAUGGAGGAACACCAGUGGCGAAGGCGGCUCUCUGGUCUGUAACUGACGCUGAUGUGCGAAAGCGUGGGGAUCAA